Gallus gallus (chicken) is the source of this 442-nucleotide long non-coding RNA. NCBI's taxonomy places the organism in Eukaryota, Metazoa, Chordata, Aves, Galliformes, Phasianidae. The record is from Ensembl.
GUAAGGCUGUCUGUUGACAAAAUCCCUUUUUAUAUCAGGAUUCCUUUAUUACUCAGGUGUUAUCUGGGGAUAAAACAACCAAAAGUGGGUCAGCUGUGUUGUCAUCAGAGCACUUGAAGCGCAAAGCUUGCCAUUAGUGUCAGUGUUUCAUGAGGCAAAGAAUGCCUUAGAAAGAGAGGAAGGGAUUUGGGAGAAGCACUUAAAUUUGGCAAGAACCAAACAAUUAGCACUACAGAUGAGGAUUGUGAAGCCCAGGAGACCUUGCUGAGCUGCUGUGCCAGCAUUACAUGAUCGGGGAGCGUAUCUGAAGGUGGUUUUCAGCAAUCUCUCUUAGUUCCCACACAAUGGUAUUUUCAGCGUCUUAUUAAGCACAGCAGGAAACUUAAAUGCUUAAACGUCCUUGAAUGUUUUUGUCUUGUGUUUGGCAACCAUUUUCCUUUGC